Molecule: ribosomal RNA, 2369 nt
Filed under: Escherichia coli
Lineage: Bacteria; Pseudomonadati; Pseudomonadota; Gammaproteobacteria; Enterobacterales; Enterobacteriaceae
Description: partial 23S ribosomal RNA
Rfam family: Bacterial large subunit ribosomal RNA
Source: RNAcentral
GUGACUGCGUACCUUUUGUAUAAUGGGUCAGCGACUUAUAUUCUGUAGCAAGGUUAACCGAAUAGGGGAGCCGAAGGGAAACCGAGUCUUAACUGGGCGUUAAGUUGCAGGGUAUAGACCCGAAACCCGGUGAUCUAGCCAUGGGCAGGUUGAAGGUUGGGUAACACUAACUGGAGGACCGAACCGACUAAUGUUGAAAAAUUAGCGGAUGACUUGUGGCUGGGGGUGAAAGGCCAAUCAAACCGGGAGAUAGCUGGUUCUCCCCGAAAGCUAUUUAGGUAGCGCCUCGUGAAUUCAUCUCCGGGGGUAGAGCACUGUUUCGGCAAGGGGGUCAUCCCGACUUACCAACCCGAUGCAAACUGCGAAUACCGGAGAAUGUUAUCACGGGAGACACACGGCGGGUGCUAACGUCCGUCGUGAAGAGGGAAACAACCCAGACCGCCAGCUAAGGUCCCAAAGUCAUGGUUAAGUGGGAAACGAUGUGGGAAGGCCCAGACAGCCAGGAUGUUGGCUUAGAAGCAGCCAUCAUUUAAAGAAAGCGUAAUAGCUCACUGGUCGAGUCGGCCUGCGCGGAAGAUGUAACGGGGCUAAACCAUGCACCGAAGCUGCGGCAGCGACGCUGAUGCGUUGUUGGGUAGGGGAGCGUUCUGUAAGCCUGUGAAGGUGUACUGUGAGGUAUGCUGGAGGUAUCAGAAGUGCGAAUGCUGACAUAAGUAACGAUAAAGCGGGUGAAAAGCCCGCUCGCCGGAAGACCAAGGGUUCCUGUCCAACGUUAAUCGGGGCAGGGUGAGUCGACCCCUAAGGCGAGGCCGAAAGGCGUAGUCGAUGGGAAACAGGUUAAUAUUCCUGUACUUGGUGUUACUGCGAAGGGGGGACGGAGAAGGCUAUGUUGGCCGGGCGACGGUUGUCCCGGUUUAAGCGUGUAGGCUGGUUUUCCAGGCAAAUCCGGAAAAUCAAGGCUGAGGCGUGAUGACGAGGCACUACGGUGCUGAAGCAACAAAUGCCCUGCUUCCAGGAAAAGCCUCUAAGCAUCAGGUAACAUCAAAUCGUACCCCAAACCGACACAGGUGGUCAGGUAGAGAAUACCAAGGCGCUUGAGAGAACUCGGGUGAAGGAACUAGGCAAAAUGGUGCCGUAACUUCGGGAGAAGGCACGCUGAUAUGUAGGUGAAGCGACUUGCUCGUGGAGCUGAAAUCAGUCGAAGAUACCAGCUGGCUGCAACUGUUUAUUAAAAACACAGCACUGUGCAAACACGAAAGUGGACGUAUACGGUGUGACGCCUGCCCGGUGCCGGAAGGUUAAUUGAUGGGGUCAGCGCAAGCGAAGCUCUUGAUCGAAGCCCCGGUAAACGGCGGCCGUAACUAUAACGGUCCUAAGGUAGCGAAAUUCCUUGUCGGGUAAGUUCCGACCUGCACGAAUGGCGUAAUGAUGGCCAGGCUGUCUCCACCCGAGACUCAGUGAAAUUGAACUCGCUGUGAAGAUGCAGUGUACCCGCGGCAAGACGGAAAGACCCCGUGAACCUUUACUAUAGCUUGACACUGAACAUUGAGCCUUGAUGUGUAGGAUAGGUGGGAGGCUUUGAAGUGUGGACGCCAGUCUGCAUGGAGCCGACCUUGAAAUACCACCCUUUAAUGUUUGAUGUUCUAACGUGGACCCGUAAUCCGGGUUGCGGACAGUGUCUGGUGGGUAGUUUGACUGGGGCGGUCUCCUCCUAAAGAGUAACGGAGGAGCACGAAGGUUGGCUAAUCCUGGUCGGACAUCAGGAGGUUAGUGCAAUGGCAUAAGCCAGCUUGACUGCGAGCGUGACGGCGCGAGCAGGUGCGAAAGCAGGUCAUAGUGAUCCGGUGGUUCUGAAUGGAAGGGCCAUCGCUCAACGGAUAAAAGGUACUCCGGGGAUAACAGGCUGAUACCGCCCAAGAGUUCAUAUCGACGGCGGUGUUUGGCACCUCGAUGUCGGCUCAUCACAUCCUGGGGCUGAAGUAGGUCCCAAGGGUAUGGCUGUUCGCCAUUUAAAGUGGUACGCGAGCUGGGUUUAGAACGUCGUGAGACAGUUCGGUCCCUAUCUGCCGUGGGCGCUGGAGAACUGAGGGGGGCUGCUCCUAGUACGAGAGGACCGGAGUGGACGCAUCACUGGUGUUCGGGUUGUCAUGCCAAUGGCACUGCCCGGUAGCUAAAUGCGGAAGAGAUAAGUGCUGAAAGCAUCUAAGCACGAAACUUGCCCCGAGAUGAGUUCUCCCUGACUCCUUGAGAGUCCUGAAGGAACGUUGAAGACGACGACGUUGAUAGGCCGGGUGUGUAAGCGCAGCGAUGCGUUGAGCUAACCGGUACUAAUGAACCGUGAGGCUUAACCUUACAACGCCGAAGCUGUU